This is a long non-coding RNA of Erinaceus europaeus (western European hedgehog), 1473 nucleotides long. RefSeq lists it as uncharacterized. The record is from RefSeq and is a predicted model, not a curated record. The transcript is spliced from 3 exons. Lineage: Eukaryota; Metazoa; Chordata; Mammalia; Eulipotyphla; Erinaceidae.
AAUACAUGCUUCCAGGGUAAUAUUACCUCUUUUACGGAGAGGGAAACUAAGCAUAGCAAUAAAGGAACUUACCCAAAGUGGGAAUCAACCAUGUACCCUGGCCACCACUUCCUAUUACCUCCACUCUACUUGGUCUGAUGAUUAUCUUUCUUGACUUCUUCCCAUCCUCCUCUUCAUCACCUCCAGGAUGUGAAUGUAGAGUCCAGAGCAGAAGGAUGUGUCACCCAGCUGUCAUUUCUGUGAUCAACCCCGGGGAAGAAUAGGUCUUAGGUUUCUUUUUUUUUUUUGCCUCCAGGGUUAUUGCUGGGGCUCAGUGCCUGCACCACAAAUCCACUGCUCCUGGAGGCCACUUUUCCCAUUUUGUUGCCCUUGUUGUUGUGCUUGUUGUAGUUGUUAUUGUUGUCAUAGCUGUUAUUGUUGUUGGAUAGGACAGAGAGAAAUGGAGAGAGGAGGGGAAAACAGAGAGGAGGAGAGAAAGACAGACACCUGCAGACCUGCUUCACAGCUUGUGAAGCGACCUCCUGCAAGUGGGGAGCCAGGGGCUCGAACCGGGAUCCUUAUACCAGCUGGCCCUUGUGCCUUGCGCCAUGCACGCUCAACCCGCUGUACUACUGCCCGACUCCCCAAGUCUUAGGUUUCUUGUAGAUGAACUAUUGGGAUUGAAAUUUUUUUUUUUUUUUUUUUUUUUUUUUUAGUUCAGUAGCCCAUGUGCUUUGAUGGUCUGUCCCAGCUACAAUAAAUAAAUUGGUAAAAAUCAGCGGCAUGAUUCCCUAUUAUAUUGUCUCCUGUGGGUAUUAAGAGGCUACUGCUAGAUUUCAGACUCUUCUCACAGGGAUGCUCCCGCAGUCAUACCAAGAAUUCAGAAGGACUGAGUGAGCAGCUGAAUAGACCAGAUGUCCGUCCAGGAAACCUUGUGCUAGUUCUUGUCACCAGCUGCCAGGUGAAGGUCAGUAGAACGCAGCUGUAGGUGCAGGCAGGAUUUGCAAGGCUUAGGCUGAACUGAACGGUGAGCAGUGAGACCUUCAGUACCUUCUCUCUGCUUCUCAUUUAUCUCGAAGAGUUUCUCUUGACCAUCAAGUUGAAAAGAAUGUACUGGGACUAGAUGUGGGGUGGAAUGUAACUUUCAGAGCAGAAGUCCUGGGACAGGCCUGCAACCUGAAACAGGAAGCUGAGGGACAGUGCUCAUCAAAUGUUGACGCAUCCAAUCCACCAGGUUCCAGAUGCUACCAUGAUGCCAACGGGACUUCCCAGGACAGACAACCCUACCAAUGUGUGCUGGAGCCCACCUUCCCAGAGCCCCAUCCCACUAGAAAAAGAAAGAGACAGGCUGGGAGUAUGGAUUUACCUGCCCACAUCCAUGUUCAGCUGGGAAACAAUUACAGAAGCCAGACCUUCCACCUUCUGCAUCCCACAAUGACCCUGGGUCCAUACUCCCAGAGGGAUAGAGAAUAGGAAAGCUGUCAGGGGAGGGGA